RNAcentral lists this ribosomal RNA (484 nucleotides) under uncultured bacterium. Its description in RNAcentral is "bacterial SSU rRNA". It matches the Rfam family "Bacterial small subunit ribosomal RNA", at positions 30 to 506 of the family's 1533-position model. The record is from RNAcentral.
AUUGAACGCUGGCGGCAGGCCUAACACAUGCAAGUCGAGCGGAUGAGUGGAGCUUGCUCCAUGAUUCAGCGGCGGACGGGUGAGUAAUGCCUAGGAAUCUGCCUGGUAGUGGGGGACAACGUUUCGAAAGGAACGCUAAUACCGCAUACGUCCUACGGGAGAAAGCAGGGGACCUUCGGGCCUUGCGCUAUCAGAUGAGCCUAGGUCGGAUUAGCUAGUAGGUGAGGUAAUGGCUCACCUAGGCGACGAUCCGUAACUGGUCUGAGAGGAUGAUCAGUCACACUGGAACUGAGACACGGUCCAGACUCCUACGGGAGGCAGCAGUGGGGAAUAUUGGACAAUGGGCGAAAGCCUGAUCCAGCCAUGCCGCGUGUGUGAAGAAGGUCUUCGGAUUGUAAAGCACUUUAAGUUGGGUAGGAAGGGCAGUAAGUUAAUACCUUGCUGUUUUGACGUUACCAACAGAAUAAGCACCGGCUAACUUCGU